AUGCUUGAGAACAACAACAAAUUAAUUGGGUUGUACGGACAGGCUGCUGCUGAAAAUAACAUAAAUAUUACUAAAAGGGGAAAUUCUCAAGAAAUUCGGAGCACUUCUAUGGCUGCAGCAAUUCCAGCAGCAAGUUUCCAAAAGCUCAAGUCACUACAAGGCCUAAUCGGUAUUUGUCGAUUGCAACUAGUGGAGGCUUGA
Molecule: non-coding RNA, 201 nt
Organism: Vicia faba (fava bean)
Lineage: Eukaryota; Viridiplantae; Streptophyta; Magnoliopsida; Fabales; Fabaceae
Source: the annotation of a GenBank genome assembly